Molecule: long non-coding RNA, 1328 nt
Filed under: Mus musculus (house mouse)
Lineage: Eukaryota; Metazoa; Chordata; Mammalia; Rodentia; Muridae
Description: predicted gene 16538
Source: RNAcentral
AACACCUAGAUUAGACUCCUUAUCGCUCACACAUCCAAUUCACACUGUAAUGAGCCUUGCAAGGUGUUUUAUACCCAGCUAGAGAGAUGGCCUGGAGCAACACAUCAACGUGUCACCUGCCUGGUAACCCUCAAUUUGGUUAGGAUGUCUGGUCUUGCAGGCGUGUUAGCCUAUCGGCAUCUUCAGCAGGAGGAUCGUCUGGGGACCAGAAAGUACAUGGACAUAGGUGAGCCGGAGAGACAGGGUUCACAGAAGAGGGAGCUGAGGAAAGGUCGUGCGGCCCGGUCCGCGGCCUCGGCCUCAUCACUCGCCUCACCCCGCAGUCGGCGCACGUGUCGCCCAGCAUGCGGUAACCACGGAGCAGGUAGUCCCCCAUCAGACGGGAGAUGCGAUCCUGCCGCUCCCGUCGCGCCUGCAGCACCUUCGUCUCAGCUUCAGUCGGAGGCUCCCAGGUGAAAUCGUCGACAUCUAGAGAAAACAGGCACAGGAGAUAGAGAGAGCUGCCUCCCGCACCCCACGGCCACUGCCCAAACAUCCCAAGCGCAUACCUGCACCGUUCAAGGCCAUGUUGCCGUGGUCACUGCUGGGCUCACCGGAAGUGAUCCAAAUAAGAUGCGCCCCCACUACGGCCCCGCCUCCCACAUGUGGUAGCUGAGGGCGGAAGUGACGCUUACACGGUCUUCCUGGCGCUUUAGUCAAAGGGGGGGCGUGUCUGCUGCACAUUUGACCCUGACCUACGGGCUCGGCUGGUGGCCAGAGCUAUGGUUGGGUACCACCGUCUCCCUGGUAACGCUUCAGUACUCGGGUGUGGCUUUUCAGAGUCUCCAUUUCUACUUGCCUCAGAUAAAGUGGCCCUUAGGUCUGUGAAAUACCCGAUUCCCUCAGGGUUGUCUUUCCACACAGGGGAAGCAGGAGAUGGGCAGGACCAUGACAUCUGCCCAACAGUCACUGCAAUAAAAAGUUCUCUAAAUCUUUCAAACUAGGCUAGCUACACUGAGGUCGUUUUCUGCCUAUUUCAACACUCCUCCCUGUUUGCGUGUUGGGUGUCCUCUGUCCACCUUCUACCAAUGCCUAGAACUGAUGUAAGCCUGCUGUCUUAGUUAGGACUAGUAUAGCUGGGAUUAACACCAUGACCAAAAAUAACUUGGGGAGGAAAAGGUUUGUUUCGCCGGGCAUGGUGGCUCAUGCCUUUAAUCCCAGCACUUGGGAGGCAGAAGCAGGCGAAUUUCUGAGUUCGAGGCCAGCCUGGUCUACAGAGCGAGUUCCAGGACAGCCAGGGCUACACAGAGAAACCCUGUCUCGAAAAGCCAAAAAAAAAGAAAAGAAAA